RNAcentral lists this ribosomal RNA (322 nucleotides) under uncultured eukaryote. RNAcentral's name for it is "partial 18S ribosomal RNA". It matches the Rfam family "Eukaryotic small subunit ribosomal RNA", at positions 1470 to 1796 of the family's 1831-position model. The record is from RNAcentral.
CCCUUAGAUGUUCUGGGCUGCACGCGCGCUACACUGAUGCGUUCAACGAGUGUAUCACCUUGCCCGAUAGGGUUGGGUAAUCUUUUGAACACGCAUCGUGAUGGGGAUAGAUUAUUGCAAUUAUUAAUCUUCAACGAGGAAUUCCUAGUAAUGAUGGAUCAUCAGUUCAUCGUGAUUACGUCCCUGCCCUUUGUACACACCGCCCGUCGCUCCUACCGAUUGAAUGGUCCGGUGAAAUCUCGGGACGGCGGCUUGGUCGCUUGCGUCCGACUGCUGAAACUUGAUUAAACCAUAUCAUUUAGAGGAAGGUGAAGUCGUANCA